GAUGAACGCUGGCGGCGUGCCUAAUACAUGCAAGUCGAGCGAACAGACGAGGAGCUUGCUCCUCUGACGUUAGCGGCGGACGGGUGAGUAACACGUGGAUAACCUACCUAUAAGACUGGGAUAACUUCGGGAAACCGGAGCUAAUACCGGAUAAUAUAUUGAACCGCAUGGUUCAAUAGUGAAAGACGGUUUUGCUGUCACUUAUAGAUGGAUCCGCGCCGCAUUAGCUAGUUGGUAAGGUAACGGCUUACCAAGGCAACGAUGCGUAGCCGACCUGAGAGGGUGAUCGGCCACACUGGAACUGAGACACGGUCCAAACUCCUACGGGAGGCAGCAGUAGGGAAUCUUCCGCAAUGGGCGAAAGCCUGACGGAGCAACGCCGCGUGAGUGAUGAAGGUCUUCGGAUCGUAAAACUCUGUUAUUAGGGAAGAACAAAUGUGUAAGUAACUAUGCACGUCUUGACGGUACCUAAUCAGAAAGCCACGGCUAACUACGUG
Molecule: ribosomal RNA, 497 nt
Filed under: uncultured bacterium
Lineage: Bacteria
Description: partial 16S ribosomal RNA
Rfam family: Bacterial small subunit ribosomal RNA
Source: RNAcentral